AUUGAACGCUGGCGGCAUGCUUUACACAUGCAAGUCGAACGGUAACAGGCCUUCGGGUGCUGACGAGUGGCGAACGGGUGAGUAAUGCAUCGGAACGUACCCAGAGGUGGGGGAUAACGCAGCGAAAGCUGUGCUAAUACCGCAUGUGAUCUGAGGAUGAAAGCGGGGGACCGAGCAGCAAUGUUUGGCCUCGCGCCUUUGGAGCGGCCGAUGUCGGAUUAGCUAGUUGGUGGGGUAAAGGCCUACCAAGGCGACGAUCCGUAGCUGGUCUGAGAGGACGACCAGCCACACUGGGACUGAGACACGGCCCAGACUCCUACGGGAGGCAGCAGUGGGGAAUUUUGGACAAUGGGCGCAAGCCUGAUCCAGCAAUGCCGCGUGCGGGAAGAAGGCCUGCGGGUUGUAAACCGCUUUUGGCAGGAACGAAACGGUGUCCGCUAAUACCGGGCGCUAAUGACGGUACCUGCAGAAUAAGCACCGGCUAACUACGU
RNAcentral lists this ribosomal RNA (491 nucleotides) under uncultured bacterium. Its description in RNAcentral is "partial 16S ribosomal RNA". It matches the Rfam family "Bacterial small subunit ribosomal RNA", at positions 29 to 506 of the family's 1533-position model. The record is from RNAcentral.